GACGAACGCUGGCGGCGUGCCUAAUGCAUGCAAGUCGCACGCAGCCUCCUUCGGGAGACUGAGUGGCGCACGGCUGAGGAUCACGUGGGAACAUGCCUCCUUGUGGGGACAACACCGCGAAAGCGGUGCUAAUCCCGCAUACGCUCGUGCAAACGAGGAAGGCUUGCAAAAGCGCAGGGAGAGUGGCCCGCGGCCCAUCA
This 200-nucleotide ribosomal RNA is filed under the name uncultured bacterium. RNAcentral's name for it is "partial 16S ribosomal RNA". It matches the Rfam family "Bacterial small subunit ribosomal RNA", at positions 28 to 243 of the family's 1533-position model. The record is from RNAcentral.